AGAAAAACAGGCACAGGAAGAUUAAGGGUUAUAUCAUAUAUGUCAAGUAUGCAGGUGUUCGAUAUCAGGUAUAUCAAUCAACUUAAUAUUUUUCAGAGAUCUUAUCUUGGUGUAGUUGAAAAUUGUUUGUUACACUGUCAAGAAUCAAGCAGACCCCUCUGCAGGACAAUGGGAGCCUGUGAGACCAUGCAUUUGCCCGGUGUAAGUUUAGUUGAAACCUUUAGAUACUAUUCAGAUCAAACUGCUAUACUUUUAUGUAGUUUUAGCAUUUUAUGCUGCUUGUCUAUGGAGCUAGAAGAUGUGAUUGAAACAUUAACUUAAACGGAAAAAAACAAAAUGGUGCUAUCAUGGUUCAUGUUU
RNAcentral lists this unclassified non-coding RNA (360 nucleotides) under Hevea brasiliensis (rubber tree). The record is from RNAcentral. Lineage: Eukaryota; Viridiplantae; Streptophyta; Magnoliopsida; Malpighiales; Euphorbiaceae.